GGGGCUGUAGCUCAGUAACAAAGUAUCUGCUUAGCAUGCAGGAAGUCCCGGGUUCAAAUCCGCAGCACCU
Molecule: transfer RNA, 70 nt
Filed under: Sphaerodactylus townsendi
Lineage: Eukaryota; Metazoa; Chordata; Lepidosauria; Squamata; Sphaerodactylidae
Description: tRNA-Ala
Rfam family: tRNA
About the family: Transfer RNA (tRNA) molecules are approximately 80 nucleotides in length. Their secondary structure includes four short double-helical elements and three loops (D, anti-codon, and T loops).
Source: RNAcentral